Molecule: ribosomal RNA, 500 nt
Filed under: uncultured bacterium
Lineage: Bacteria
Description: bacterial SSU rRNA
Rfam family: Bacterial small subunit ribosomal RNA
Source: RNAcentral
GACGAACGCUGGCGGCGUGCUUAACACAUGCAAGUCGAACGGAGAAUUUAUUUCGGUAAAUUCUUAGUGGCGAACGGGUGAGUAACGCGUGGGCAACCUGCCCUUCAGAUGGGGACAACAUUCCGAAAGGGGUGCUAAUACCGAAUACGAUCACGCUGCCGCAUGGCGGUGUGAUGAAAGAUGGCCUCUAUUUAUAAGCUAUCGCUGAAGGAUGGGCCUGCGUCUGAUUAGCUAGUUGGUGGGGUAACGGCCUACCAAGGCGAUGAUCAGUAGCCGGUCUGAGAGGAUGAACGGCCACAUUGGGACUGAGACACGGCCCAAACUCCUACGGGAGGCAGCAGUGGGGAAUAUUCCGCAAUGGACGAAAGCCUGACCCAGCAACGCCGCGUGAGGGAAGAAGGUUUUCGGAUUGUAAACCUCUGUCGCAGGAGACGAAAGGAAUGACGGUAUUCUGUGAGGAAGCCCCGGCUAACUACGUGCCAGCAGCCGCGGUAAUCUGU